AGAGUUUGAUCCUGGCUCAGGAUGAACGCUGGCGGUAUGCCUAACACAUGCAAGUCGAACGGACUCUUCGGAGUUAGUGGCGGACGGGCGAGUAACGCGUGAGAAUCUGGCUUCAGGUCGGGGACAACAGUUGGAAACGACUGCUAAUACCGGAUGUGCCGAGAGGUGAAAGAUUUAUUGCCUGAAGAUGAGCUCGCGUCUGAUUAGCUAGUUGGUAGUGUAAGGGACUACCAAGGCGACGAUCAGUAGCUGGUUUGAGAGGAUGAUCAGCCACACUGGGACUGAGACACGGCCCAGACUCCUACGGGAGGCAGCAGUGGGGAAUUUUCCGCAAUGGGCGAAAGCCUGACGGAGCAAUACCGCGUGAGGGAGGAAGGCUCUUGGGUCGCAAACCUCUUUUCUCAAGGAAGAACACAAUGACGGUACUUGAGGAAUAAGCAUCGGCUAACUCCGUGCCAGCAGCCGCGGUAAUACGGAGGAUGCAAGCGUUAUCCGGAAUGAUUGGGCGUAAAGGGUCCGCAGGUGGAACUGAAAGUCUGCUGUUAAAGAAUCUGGCUCAACCAGAUAAAAGCAGUGGAAACUACAGAACUAGAGUAUGGUGGGGGUAGAAGGAAUUCCUAGUGUAGCGGUGAAAUGCGUAGAUAUUAGGAAGAACACCGGUGGCGAAAGCGUUCUACUAGACCAAGACUGACACUGAGGGACGAAAGCUAGGGGAGCGAAUGGGAUUAGAUACCCCAGUAGUCCUAGCCGUAGACGAUGGAUACUAGGCGUGGCUUGUAUCGACCCGAGCCGUGCCGGAGCCAACGCGUUAAGUAUCCCGCCUGGGGAGUACGCACGCAAGUGUGAAACUCAAAGGAAUUGACGGGGGCCCGCACAAGCGGUGGAGUAUGUGGUUUAAUUCGAUGCAACGCGGAGAACCUACCAAGGCUUGACAUCCUGCGAAUCCCGGUGAAAGCUGGGAGUGCCUUAGGGAGCGCAGAGACAGGUGGUGCAUGGCUGACGUCAGCUCGUGUCGUGAGAUGUUGGGUUAAGUCCCGCAACGAGCGCAACCCUCGUUUUUAGUUGCCAGCAUUAAGUUGGGCACUCUAGAGAGACCGCCGGUGACAAACCGGAGGAAGGUGAGGAUGACGUCAAGUCAGCAUGCCCCUUACGCCUUGGGCUACACACGUACUACAAUGCUACGGACAAAGGGCAGCUACACAGCGAUGUGAUGCAUAUCUCAGAAACCGUAGCUCAGUUCAGAUCGAAGGCUGCAACUCGCCUUCGUGAAGGAGGAAUCGCUAGUAAUUGCAGGUCAGCAUACUGCAGUGAAUUCGUUCCCGGGCCUUGUACACACCGCCCGUCACACCAUGGAAGUUGGUCACGCCCGAAGUCAUUACCCCAACCGCAAGGAGGGGGAUGCCGAAGGUAGGACUGGUGACUGGGGUGAAGUCGUAACAAGGUA
This 1444-nucleotide ribosomal RNA is filed under the name metagenome. Its description in RNAcentral is "bacterial SSU rRNA". It matches the Rfam family "Bacterial small subunit ribosomal RNA". The record is from RNAcentral.